CCUCUCUGUUCAGCGACUGUGCGCUUAUGCACUUCCCUGUUAUCGGUUGGCAGGGAUAGUGCGCACGUUGCUGUUAAUCAACCCCCAAUACCUGAACCAAAUAUAAUACUGAAGCAUAUGGCUUACACUGAAUGGUGUAGUCUUAACAAAUGACAACUCUCAACAACGGAUAUCUUGGCUCUCGCAACGAUGAAGAACGCAGCGAAAUGCGAUACGUAGUGUGAAUUGCAGAAUUCCGUGAACCAUCAAAUCUUUGAACGCAUAUUGCGCUCGAGGCUUCGGCCGAGAGCAUGUCUGCCUCAGCGUCGGUAUUACCCCUCGCUUCUCAACCCCUGGUUGAUGCCUGCCUGCCUUUGCAGUUGGCUAGAAGCGGAUCUGGCUUUCCCAAUUGCCUUUGGUAGUUGGGUCAGCUGAAGCACAGAGGCUUGAGCAAGGACCCUUAUUGGGCUUCAACUGGAUAGGUAGAACUGGUCUUAGGACCAACUACACGAAGUUGUUGCUUGUGGUCUUUGUCUGGAGGCCAGCAGGAAACCUUUAUACCUUCGACCUGAGCUCAG
RNAcentral lists this ribosomal RNA (557 nucleotides) under Chromochloris zofingiensis. RNAcentral describes it as "eukaryotic LSU rRNA". The stretch from base 155 to 308 matches the Rfam family "5.8S ribosomal RNA". Lineage: Eukaryota; Viridiplantae; Chlorophyta; Chlorophyceae; Sphaeropleales; Chromochloridaceae. The record is from RNAcentral.